RNAcentral lists this ribosomal RNA (495 nucleotides) under uncultured bacterium. Its description in RNAcentral is "partial 16S ribosomal RNA". It matches the Rfam family "Bacterial small subunit ribosomal RNA", at positions 28 to 507 of the family's 1533-position model. The record is from RNAcentral.
GACGAACGCUGGCGGCGUGCCUAAUACAUGCAAGUAGAACGCUGAAGGAGGAUCUUGCUUCUCUGGAUGAGUUGCGAACGGGUGAGUAACGCGUAGGUAACCUGCCUGGUAGCGGGGGAUAACUAUUGGAAACGAUAGCUAAUACCGCAUAAUAGUAGAUGUUGCAUGACAUUUGCUUAAAAGGUGCACUUGCAUCUCUACCAGAUGGACUUGCGUUGUAUUAGCUAGUUGGUGGGGUAACGGCUCACCAAGGCGACGAUACAUAGCCGACCUGAGAGGGUGAUCGGCCACACUGGGACUGAGACACGGCCCAGACUCCUACGGGAGGCAGCAGUAGGGAAUCUUCGGCAAUGGACGGAAGUCUGACCGAGCAACGCCGCGUGAGUGAAGAAGGUUUUCGGAUCGUAAAGCUCUGUUGUAAGAGAAGAACGAGGGUGAGAGUGGAAAGUUCACACUGUGACGGUAUCUUACCAGAAAGGGACGGCUAACUACGUG